This is a long non-coding RNA of Neltuma alba, 272 nucleotides long. RefSeq lists it as uncharacterized. Lineage: Eukaryota; Viridiplantae; Streptophyta; Magnoliopsida; Fabales; Fabaceae. The transcript has 3 exons. The record is from RefSeq and is a predicted model, not a curated record.
GCAAAGGUUUCUUGCAUUCCUUUUGUUAGCACUGAAGAUGAUGCAGUAGCAACUUUAAGUGAGCUUCUCACUGAUGAUGGCAUCAGUUCUUCUGCUAUCCGUUCACUCAUUAGUUGGGAGAAGCGAGUUUAAUGGGGCAACAAGUCCAAACUCCAGAGCCCGUUCAGACUAGACUCUAGUGUGUAGAGCUGUUCUUAUUCAGGUUUUUAGAUGGUCAUAUCGACAGAACAUCGUCUGAAAGUGAGCACUUGAUGAUUGUAUCAACCACAAAU